Molecule: long non-coding RNA, 560 nt
Organism: Eriocheir sinensis (Chinese mitten crab)
Lineage: Eukaryota; Metazoa; Arthropoda; Malacostraca; Decapoda; Varunidae
Exons: 2
Source: RefSeq, a predicted model, not a curated record
UUAAGAUACUAGAAAAUUAAGAUACAAGAAAAUUAAGAUACAAGAAAAUUAAGAUACAAGAAAAUUAAGAUAGACAAAAUUAAGAUACAAGAAAAUUAAGAUACAAGAAAAUUAAGAUACAAGAAAAUUAAGAUACAAGAAAAUUAAGAUACAAUUAAGAUACUAGAAAUUUAAGAUACAAGAAAAAAUUAAGAUACAAGAAAAUAAUGAAGAAAAAUUAAGAUCAAGAAAAUACUGAGGAAAAUUUAAGAUACAAGAAAAUUAAGAUACAAGAAAAACAAGAAAAUUUUAAUCGCUUCAAUACGUAACCAAUUGUCUUCUGUCGAUACAUUAGGGAUCAACAUUAAUAGAUAAAGAUAGAAAAGAUAGUAAGAUAGUAGAGAUAAAGUAGAUAGUAAAGAUAGACAGAUAGAUAGUAUAGAUAAAGAUAGUAAAUUCAAUAGAUAGAUAGAUAGAUUGAAUUCCCCAGAUAGUUUAAUAAAGAUAGAUUAAGAUAGACAUAACUUAGAGUAGAUAUUAUUUACAUUUGAUAAAGAUAAGUAAUUUGAUAAAGAGUAAGA